GGGUUUGAUCCUGGCUCAGGAUGAACGCUGGCGGCGUGCCUAACCAAUGCAAGUCGAACGGACUGGCAAGGGGUAGAAGGGUUGGAGAGGGCGGAGGGUGAGAAAUCAUUUGAAGCUUUUGAAGGCUUGGAAGCCCAUAGCCGGUCAGUGGCGGACGGGUGAGUAACACGUGGGAAUCUACCCUGGGGUGGGGAAUAACAGAUCGAAAGGUUUGCUAAUUCCGCAUGUGAUCCGCGAGGAUGAAAGGGGAAACUCGCCCCGGGACGAGCCCGCGGCCGAUUAGCUAGUUGGCAGGGUAAUGGCCUACCAAGGCGAGGAUCGGUAGCUGGUCUGAGAGGACGAUCAGCCACACUGGAACUGACAUACGGUCCAGACUCCUACGGGAGGCAGCAGGAAGGAAUAUUGCACAAUGGGGGAAACCCAGAUGCAGCAACGCCGCGUAAGCGAAGAAGGCCUUCGGGUCGUAAAGCUUUUUUCCGAGGGAUGAGGAAGGACAGUACCUCGGGAAUAAGUCUCGGCUAACUACGUGCCAGCAGCCGCGGUAAAACGUAGGAGGCGAGCGUUAUCCGGAUUUACUGGGCGUAAAGGGCAAGUAGGCGGUAGCCAAAGUUGGGUGUGACAUCUCCCGGCUCAACUGGGAGGGGCCACUCAAGACUAGGCAACUAGAGGGCAGGAGAGGGAAGUGGAAUUCCUAGUGUAGCGGUGAAAUGCUCAGAUAUUAGGAAGAACACCAGUGGCGAAGGCGGCUUCCUGGCCUGUACCUGACGCUGAGAGGCGAAAGCUAGGGGAGCAAACGGGCUUAGAUAUCCCGGUAGUCCUAGCCGUAAACAUUGGAUACUGGGUAUUAGGGGGCUAAAAUCCCUUAGUGCCGAAGCAAACGCGUUAAGUAUCCCGCCUGGGGACUACGACCGCAAGGUUAAAACUCAAAGGAAUUGACGGGGGCCCGCACAAGCAGCGGAGCGUGUGGUUUAAUUCGAUGCGACACGAAGAACCUUACCUGGGUUUGACAUGGAUGUAGUGGGGGAGCGAAAGCCGACCGACCCUUCGGGGAGCAUUCACAGGUGCUGCAUGGCUGUCGUCAGCUCGUGCCGUGAGGUGUUGGGUUAAGUCCCACAACGAGCGCAACCCCUGUUGCCAGUUAGAGAUUUCUGGCGAGACUGCCGGCGUAUAACCGGAGGAAGGUGGGGAUGACGUCAAGUCAGCAUGGCCUUUAUAUCCAGGGCUACACACACGCUACAAUGAUCGGUACAGAGGGCAGCGAAGCCGCGAGGUGGAGCAAAUCCCAAAAAGCCGGUCUCAGUUCAGAUUGCAGGCUGUAACUCGCCUGCAUGAAGUCGGAGUUGCUAGUAACCGCAGGUCAGCUAUACUGCGGUGAAUACGUUCCCGGGCCUUGUACACACCGCCCGUCACGUCAUGGGAGCUGGCAAUACCUGAAGUCGGUGAGCCAACCGCAAGGGGGCAGCCGCCUAAGGUAGGGCUGGUGACUGGGACGAAGUCGUAACAAGGUA
This 1508-nucleotide ribosomal RNA is filed under the name metagenome. RNAcentral's name for it is "bacterial SSU rRNA". It matches the Rfam family "Bacterial small subunit ribosomal RNA". The record is from RNAcentral.